This 774-nucleotide ribosomal RNA is filed under the name Triticum aestivum (bread wheat). RNAcentral describes it as "partial small subunit ribosomal RNA". Lineage: Eukaryota; Viridiplantae; Streptophyta; Magnoliopsida; Poales; Poaceae. The record is from RNAcentral.
AUGGGCAGGAAAUGGCACGCCGUCGCGGCACUGGGCAUGGCGUACGCUGUCGCCGCCGCCGUCGCCGAUGGCGACAAGGGCCUCUCCUUCGCCGGCACCAUUGCAGGGCCGGAGGAAGCGAGCUCCCCGCGCAAGCUGGCCAGCUUGUACGGAACCACUUAUCACCACGUCUGGCCGCCCAUGAAAUUUGGAUGGCGAAUUGUGUUAGGGUCAUUCAUUGGAUUCUUCGGGGCAGCAUUUGGCAGCGUUGGUGGAGUAGGCGGAGGCGGGAUCUUCGUUCCAAUGCUAACGUUGAUCAUUGGCUUUGAUCUGAAGUCAUCAGCAGCGAUGUCAAAAUGUAUGAUCACGGGAGCUACUGUUUCAACCGUGUAUUGCAAUCUCAAGCUGAAACACCCAACUUUGGACAUGCCAAUGAUAGACUAUGAUCUAGCCCUCCUCAUACAGUCCAUGCUCAUGAUGGGGGUUAGCAUUGGAGUUAUUUGCAAUGUGAUAUUCCCCGACUGGCUUGUCACGGUCCUCUUGAUCAUCCUCUUUCUAGUUACUUCGGUUAAAGCUUUUCUGAAGGGUGUUGAAGCAUGGAAGAAAGAGACGGUGAUAAGAAGGGAGGCAAAGGCAAAACAACUAGAGCAAUCUAAUGAAGAUACUAGAUAUACGCCACCGCCUACAGGACCCGAUCCUGCAUCUGACACAAAAAAAAACCCACAGAUGAAGCGGUAUCCAUUUGGAAGAACAUUUACUGGAAGGAGUUUGGCCUUCUGGCGUCCGUUUGGGUAG